This 331-nucleotide ribosomal RNA is filed under the name uncultured Bacillota bacterium. RNAcentral describes it as "bacterial SSU rRNA". It matches the Rfam family "Bacterial small subunit ribosomal RNA", at positions 28 to 351 of the family's 1533-position model. Lineage: Bacteria; Bacillati; Bacillota. The record is from RNAcentral.
GACGAACGCUGGCGGCGUGCCUAACACAUGCAAGUCGAGCGGAGGCAGCUAAGGAGCAAUCUGAAGCUGUCUGAGCGGCGGACGGGUGAGUAACGCGUGAGCAACCUGCCUUUCACAGGGGGAUAACGCAGCGAAAGCUGCACUAAUACCGCAUGAGACCACAGUGGAGAUACCACAGGGGUCAAAGGGGAAAUCCGGUGAGAGAUGGGCUCGCGUCCGAUUAGGUAGUUGGUGAGGUAAAGGCCCACCAAGCCAAUGAUCGGUAGCCGGCCUGAGAGGGUGAACGGCCACAUUGGAACUGAGAGACGGUCCAAACUCCUACGGGUGGCAG